RNAcentral lists this long non-coding RNA (1001 nucleotides) under Phoenix dactylifera (date palm). RNAcentral describes it as "long non-coding RNA (PDAC_LNC005969)". Lineage: Eukaryota; Viridiplantae; Streptophyta; Magnoliopsida; Arecales; Arecaceae. The record is from RNAcentral.
AACGGCGUGGGACUUCUCAGAAAAAUCCAACACCAGGUACUUGUCAACGGCUACCUCUGCCAUGCGACACCUUAAAAAUAAUUCAUGCUACGUUCUCGUCAACGGCUACCUCCGUCGUCGAUCGACGACCUCUCCUACAGGCUACACAUGCCUCCCCUUCUUCCACCUCCCUUUCCCUUCCUUCACUGACCAAUGGAACUCCCUCAUCUGCGGCCCCUCCCGCUUGACUUUCUCCAUCUCUACAAUACCAUGGCCUGGAUUUCUUCUGUUUAUAGACCGUGACUUCGCCUUCUUCUUCCUCCUCUAAUCCUGCAAAGGCCAAUUCUUGCCACGAGGCCGACAGGUCGAUCAUGCGGAGCAACUUCUCUUCAAGUGUCAUCAUCUUCACCAAUAUGGCCCGUUCGUCCGCAAUGGAUGGGUUCACGGAGGAGAUGAAGAAGGUGUUUGAUGAAAUGCGGACUUGGUCUCCUGAAAUUCGAUGGUCGGAGCCAGGCGUCGAUGCCAUCAACAUGGAAUCUAUGGAAGCAAAGGAGAAGGCUGCGGAACGAGCCAUCAUCCUCGAACUCGAGGAGGCAUAUGGCAUAGUCCUUGUCGGUGGUGGUGACGUGCUUGGCCUUGGACUAGGAUGAGGCCAUGAGGGAGAGAGGAAGGCAUUGCUCGCCAACUUACUGAGAUAUCAUCCACAAUUCCGCACCAUUUCAUGAAUAAGGGAGCAGGGUGUUGUUCAGAAGAUCAUGGAUUUGAAGUAAAAAGGAGAGAAAAGUUACAUGUCUUACUCUCCAACAUAUAUGAGAGUUUUAUUUUCAAAAUAACACCUUCCCUUCUUAUCCAUUGAAAGUGGUUUUGUUUUGGAACUUUGACAAUUUGGUUCCAUAAACAGGAGACGCUUCCUUUCCUCUUUUCUUUAUCUGUUAGGAAAAAGUGUGAAACUUUGACCGUUUCUUUUACGGCGCUCACUUAUUUUCAGUUCUAUAUAUACGAUGAUUUGAAUAACUUUUCCG